UUAUAAAAUUCAGAUUUUGCC
Non-coding RNA from Caenorhabditis elegans, 21 nucleotides. The record is from Ensembl. Lineage: Eukaryota; Metazoa; Nematoda; Chromadorea; Rhabditida; Rhabditidae.